GAUGAACGCUGGCGGCGUGCCUAAUACAUGCAAGUCGAGCGAACAGAUGAGAAGCUUGCUUCUCUGAUGUUAGCGGCGGACGGGUGAGUAACACGUGGGUAACCUACCUAUAAGACUGGGAUAACUCCGGGAAACCGGGGCUAAUACCGGAUAAUAUUUUGAACCGCAUGGUUCAAUAGUGAAAGACGGUUUCGGCUGUCACUUAUAGAUGUACCGGAGCCGUAUUAGCUAGUUGGUAAGGUAACGGCUUACCAAGGCGACGAUACGUAGCCGACCUGAGAGGGUGAUCGGCCACACUGGAACUGAGACACGGUCCAGACUCCUACGGGAGGCAGCAGUAGGGAAUCUUCCGCAAUGGGCGAAAGCCUGACGGAGCAACGCCGCGUGAGUGAUGAAGGUCUUCGGAUCGUAAAACUCUGUUGUUAGGGAAGAACAAAUUUGUUAGUAACUGAACAAGUCUUGACGGUACCUAACCAGAAAGCCACGGCUAACUACGUGCCAGCAGCCGCAGUAA
This 514-nucleotide ribosomal RNA is filed under the name uncultured bacterium. Its description in RNAcentral is "partial 16S ribosomal RNA". It matches the Rfam family "Bacterial small subunit ribosomal RNA", at positions 28 to 523 of the family's 1533-position model. The record is from RNAcentral.